AUGGAGAGGAAUAUGACUCGCUUUAUUCAUCAUUGUAUGAUACCUGAUUUUAGGGAGCUAAUAUAUAAAGCAACCACGCCAAGUCAGUUUGUUCGCAGAUGGAAAAAAUUUGUUGAGGCACACAAGAUUGGUGAGGGUAAGAAAAGUUACAAGUGGAUGUCAAGGAUGUACAAAAUCCAAAAACUGUGGGCAGCUAGUUAUGUCACGAACAAAUACUUUUUGGGUGCACAGAGUAAUCAGCGCAGUGAAAGCCUAAAUUCCCAAUUGCAUACUCACUUGAACAGAAAAAUGACAUUAGCAGAUAUGGAAGAACAUUCCUUUCGCUGUGUUAAACGUAUCAGAAGAAAUGAGUAUGAAUUGGAUUGCGUAGCUUCACAAUCUUUGCCAGUGCUCAUUACAGAACAUAAACCUUUGGAAAUGGAUGCAGAGAAGUGCUUCACUCUAGCAAAUUUUCAGUUGGUUCAGAAGGAGAUUGAAAGGUCGUCAAAUUAUGAGAUUGUUGAGAUAUUGGAAAAUGAAAAUUGCAUAAAGUACAUUGUUAGUGCCAGAGAGUACACAAGUGUCCGCUUUGUCGAAUGUGAUGAUGAGGAGACACUUGCAAAUAUUAAGUGCAACUGCCUAAAAUUU
This 627-nucleotide ribosomal RNA is filed under the name Triticum aestivum (bread wheat). RNAcentral describes it as "partial small subunit ribosomal RNA". The record is from RNAcentral. Lineage: Eukaryota; Viridiplantae; Streptophyta; Magnoliopsida; Poales; Poaceae.